RNAcentral lists this ribosomal RNA (116 nucleotides) under Pteropus alecto (black flying fox). The record is from RNAcentral. Lineage: Eukaryota; Metazoa; Chordata; Mammalia; Chiroptera; Pteropodidae.
GUCUAUAGCCAUGCCACCCUGAACAAGCCUGAUGUCUAAUCUUGGAAACUAAGCAGGGGCAGGCCUGGUUAGUACUUGGAUGGGAGACCACCUAGGAAGACCAGGUGCUGUAGGCG